AAUAUAAUCAAAUCACUUCAUUUUAUAGUAUGAUUUACUCACUAUUGGAUAAGUUGCUAAGAAUAACUCUAUGAAUUCUCUAUAUGCUUGAUUGAGAGUUUUUAUCCAUGGCAUUAUUGUUUAUCGAUCAUAAAUAUGAAAAUGUGCACUUGGUAUGCUUUUGAAUUUAUGCACUAUGAAUACUAAGAUUAAAGAAACCAUCCUUGGGAUAUAAAAUCAACUCAUGCUAGUAUGUACUUAAUCUCAAAAGAUCUUGUCAUUGGUUUACUUAGAUUAUCUUUUGCAAGGUCAAAGUUUGCUAUGCAUAUUAACUAAGGAAACAAACAAAAAUCAAUCUCUAAAUCUAAAGA
This 350-nucleotide long non-coding RNA is filed under the name Phoenix dactylifera (date palm). RNAcentral's name for it is "long non-coding RNA (PDAC_LNC018839)". The record is from RNAcentral. Lineage: Eukaryota; Viridiplantae; Streptophyta; Magnoliopsida; Arecales; Arecaceae.